AAUGCGGAGGAAAAGAAACCAACAGGGAUUGCCUUAGUAACGGCGAGUGAAGCGGCAACAGCUCAAAUUUGAAAUCUGGCCCUUGGGUCCGAAUUGUAAUUUGUAGAGGAUGAUUUUGGUGCGGUAUCUUCCGAGUUCCUUGGAACAGGACGCCUUAGAGGGUGAGAGCCCCGUACGGUUGAAUGCCUAGCCUCUGUAAAUCUCCUUCGACGAGUCGAGUAGUUUGGGAAUGCUGCUCUAAAUGGGAGGUAAAUUUCUUCUAAAGCUAAAUAUUGGCCAGAGACCGAUAGCGCACAAGUAGAGUGAUCGAAAGAUGAAAAGCACUUUGAAAAGAGGGUUAAAUAGCACGUGAAAUUGUUGAAAGGGAAGGAUUUGUGACCAGACUUUUUCUGGGCGGAUCAUCCGGGGUUCUCUCCGGUGCACUUUGCCCAGUAAAGGCCAGCAUCGGUUUUCGGCGGGGGAUAAAAGCAGUAGGAAUGUGGCUCUCUACGGGGAGUGUUAUAGCCUAUUGUAUAAUACCCUGCUGGGGACCGAGGUACGCGCUUCUGCAAGGAUGCUGGCGUAAUGGUUAUCAAUCACCCGUCUUGAACCAACGGACCU
This 600-nucleotide small RNA is filed under the name Pseudopestalotiopsis theae. RNAcentral describes it as "eukaryotic LSU rRNA". It matches the Rfam family "Eukaryotic large subunit ribosomal RNA", at positions 47 to 668 of the family's 3401-position model. Lineage: Eukaryota; Fungi; Ascomycota; Sordariomycetes; Amphisphaeriales; Sporocadaceae. The record is from RNAcentral.